UGUGUAGGCGGAGAGGCAAGUCAGAUGUGAAAUCUAUGGGCUCAACCCAUAGCUUGCAUUUGAAACUGUCUCCCUUGAGCGUGGGAGAGGUGAAUGGAAUUCCUGGUGUAGCGGUGAAAUGCGUAGAUAUCAGGAGGAACACCGGUGGCGAAGGCGAUUCACUGGCCCAUGACUGACGCUGAGACACGAAAGCGUGGGGAGCAAACAG
Molecule: ribosomal RNA, 208 nt
Filed under: uncultured bacterium
Lineage: Bacteria
Description: partial 16S ribosomal RNA
Rfam family: Bacterial small subunit ribosomal RNA
Source: RNAcentral